Non-coding RNA from Perca flavescens (yellow perch), 2587 nucleotides. NCBI's taxonomy places the organism in Eukaryota, Metazoa, Chordata, Actinopteri, Perciformes, Percidae. The record is from RefSeq and is a predicted model, not a curated record.
AGGCGGCUUGACGGACGACAGGGCCACGACCUCACUGGCAGGUUUUUUCGAAGGCAUCACAAGGGUGGAAGGAGUAGCAACAGGCUCAGAGGAGGACGGGGCCACGAAAUACGGGGCAAGUAUAGGUUUGUUCGACGGUCUCACAAGGGUGGAAGGAGUGGCAGGUAAACCUAUCCCUCCUCCUCCGUGUUGUUCUUCGGGCUCCCGAGUGGUCCGUCGGAGGAACUCAAAGGGUCCGUCGGUGCAGGUGGAGGCGAAGGGUCUGUCGGAGGACGCAGAGGGUCUGUCGGUGGAGGCAAAGGGUCUGUCGGAGGACGUAAAGGGUCUGUCAGCGGCGGAUGGGGCCACGACCUUGCUGGCAGGUUUGUUCGACGGUCCACAAGGGUGGAAGGAGUUGGAAGCGGCUCGACGGAGGAUGGGGCCAGUAUAGGUUUGUUCGAAGGCAUCACAAGGGUGGAAGGAGUAGCAACGGGCUCAGAGGAGGACGGGGCCACGAAAUACAGGAAGAAGUGGCAGGCGGCUUGACGGACGACGGGGCCACGACCUCACUGGCAGGUUUCUUCGAAGGCGUCACAAGGGUGGAAGGAGUAGCAACAGGCUCAGAGGAGGACGGGGCCACGAAAUACGGGGCAAGUAUAAGUUUGUUUGAAGGCAUCACAAGGGUGGAAGGAUUAGCAACAGGCUCAGAGGAGGACGGGGUUACGAAAUACGGGGCAAGUAUAGGUUUGUUCGACGGUGUCACAAGGGUGGAAGGAGUGGCAGGUAACCCUAUCCCUCCUCCUACGUGUUGUUCUUCGGGCUCCCGAGUGGUCCGUCGGAGGAACGCAAAGGGUCCGUCGGUGCAAGUGGAGGCGAAGGGUCUGUCGGAGGAAGCGGAGGGUCUGUCGGUGGAGGCAAAGGGUCAGUCGGAGGACGCAAAGGGUCCGUCGGUGCAAGAAAUGAAACAAAAAUACAAAUAAGAGCUCAAGUAUAUUGCUAUUCAUGUAGGUCAUCCUGCUUGAAUGUUCAGAUGUGUUAAACCCUGGUUGUAGGUGUGGGUCACUGUAAUGUUAGGUCAGCAGGUUGUUAGGCAGAGCUAAAAGUGUAUAAUAUAGUCUGAAGUAAAAUGCACAGUAUAUUCAAAAUAAUGCAGUGAGCAGUGAUCUUAAUCCAGAGCUCAAAUUACUUCAGUAUACUACACACACACACACACACACUAUUAUGGACCAACAAAUACCUAAACCCGGUUUCUGGGUGUGGGUCCCUUCAAUGUUAGGUCUGCAGGCCUGACCACAGUUCAAGUAUGUCUAUAUAGUAUCUAUAGUCUUAAGUGAAAUACACAUUACAUUCCUACUAAUGAAGUGAGCGGUGGUGUUAAUCCAGAGCUCAAGUUAAAUCUGUAGAAUAUACACACACACACACAGUUAUAGACCAACACAAAGCUAAACCCAGUUCCUCGGUGCGGGUCCCUUUAAUGUUAGAUCCGCCUGCCCAGAGCUCAAGUACAUCACAUAGUCUCAAGUGAAAUGCACAUUAUAUUCCAACUAAUGAAGUGAGCGGUGUUGUUAAUCCAGAGCUCAAGUUACAUCUGUAGAAUACACACACACACACACACACACACACACACACACACCAUUAUAGACCAACACAUACCUAAACCCGGUUUCUGGGUGUGGGUCCCUUCAAUGUUAGGUCCUGCCCAGAGCUCAAGUAGUAAAAAUACACACUAUAUUCAAACUAAUGCAGCGAGCAGUGAUCUUAAAAGUAUCAACAAGUAACUCACAGUUCUCGCAGCCGAGGGACGGCGGGUUUGUUCGACGAGCUGAACGGAAGAGAGAAUCCUCCAAACCUCCUCUCGCUAGAAAGCGGCCUAGGUCUGAAGCAGAACAGAAGAGACACUCCUCCAAGCCUUCCCUGACUCUUCUUCCUUGUUCUUCGGGCUCCUGAGUGGUCCGUCGGAGGACGCGGAGGGUCUGUCGGUUGAGGCGAAGGGUCUGUCGGAGGACGUAAAGGGUCGGAUGGGGCCACAACCUCACUGGCAGGUUUGUUCGACGGUGUCACAAUGGUGGAAAGAGUGGCAGGCAGAUUGAUGGAGGACGGGGCCACGACCUCACUGGCAGGUUUGUGCGUUCAAUAUUGUCAGAACAUGCAAAAGGCAAAUGACCGCUACAUUGCGAGAGAACUGGCUUUGCUGAGGGCGUCCAAAACCCACCCGCCGAUGGCCUCUACUUCCUCCUCCAUGUCCUGGUCCUCUACCUCCUCCUCUAUGUUGUUCUUCGGGCUCUUGAGUGGUUACAUCGUAGCGGUGACUGGGCACAGAAAAGGCGUCGUCCUCAACAUGACGCGGAAAGAGGUCAAAGCGGCAGACAAAUUGAAGAACGGCAAUCGCAUCAUACGGCGGAAAGCCCGGCCGAGGUCUUUAACAGCCAAAACCUAUCCGUCACGGCGAUCUCAGCUUACGCUGUCAAGAAGACAAAUCAAAGCACCUAGGACACGAGAGCCACAGAGGACACGGACGAGGUGGAGAACCGGGACAGUGAGUAGGACGAGGAAGACCAGGACAUAGGGGACAUAGAGGAGGAGGAGGAAGAACAAGAGGAGGAUGAGG